RNAcentral lists this ribosomal RNA (253 nucleotides) under uncultured bacterium. RNAcentral describes it as "partial 16S ribosomal RNA". It matches the Rfam family "Bacterial small subunit ribosomal RNA", at positions 524 to 776 of the family's 1533-position model. The record is from RNAcentral.
UACGUAGGUGGCAAGCGUUGUCCGGAUUUACUGGGCGUAAAGAGCGCGCAGGCGGUCGUUCAAGUCGCGUGUGAAAGCCCCCGGCUCAACUGGGGAGGGUCACGCGAUACUGAUCGACUCGAAGGCAGGAGAGGGUAGUGGAAUUCCCGGUGUAGUGGUGAAAUGCGUAGAUAUCGGGAGGAACACCAGUGGCGAAGGCGGCGAUCUGGGUCGAUACUGACGCUGAGGUGCGAAAGCGUGGGGAGCAAACAGG